GGCUUUCUUCUUCCUCCACUAUCUGUAAUUCUUAAACUGUUCUCCAGCCCUUUCUUUAGUCCUAAUUUGGUAUUCUAAGGAAUGACACUUAAUUCACUCAUAUGUUGAAGAAAGCAUUGCUGAAGACAUGGGGAAUUAGUCAGCAGCAUUCCAGGUUUUCAUCAGCUGGGAAACCAAAGCAAAGGAUGGAUUUGCAAGCACCAGUAAGUGUAAGAGAUGUCGAUGCCACCCACCUGUAAGUUGAGCCCGUGAAACAAGGCACUUACUGUCAAUGCACCACCCCUUGGAUCCAACUCCCUUUCAACCAACAGCCUGGACUAUUUCACAAGAUCAGUGACACAGUGCUUAUACGAUGCUUUAGAUCCUCCCUGGUGGCCGACUCCUCCAUCACUCCAGUACCGAGGCUUCUGCACAACUCACUGCAUCCACAGGAC
RNAcentral lists this long non-coding RNA (434 nucleotides) under Fukomys damarensis (Damara mole-rat). Its description in RNAcentral is "lncRNA (ENSFDAG00000026184.1)". The record is from RNAcentral. Lineage: Eukaryota; Metazoa; Chordata; Mammalia; Rodentia; Bathyergidae.